GUGUGUGGCGUGCAGGCCCUAGAGAGAAAGCACCUACACCUAAGCACCUCUCCCCUCCCAAUUUCUGGAGGCUCCAAAAAACGGAUUGGGGCCCCCACCAAAAGCCGGGACAUGAAACGGGUCAAGGUUUACCCAAAAUGCACAACCCUAAUAAAAACAAAUUGGAAAAAGAUAUUUGUUCUUAGAAGCAUAUCUCUUAUCGCUGUAAAACUGUGAUUUGUUUGUUUAGGAAAAUAUGGGGAAAAUUAUUGAGUAUAUCUUUAAUGAAGGAAAGGGGUACAAGCCAGCAACAAUGGAAUGAAAUGUUGGACUUGUGAAGCAAUAUGAGUUUGUUGGUCCUCAUGGCACAAAAUAAGGGUAAGGGGAAGAGGGGGGGGGGAAAUAAUAAUAAUAAUAAUAAUAAUAAUAAUAAUAAUAAUAAUAAUAAUAACUGAACUGUUUGUUGGAAAUGAAAGCUAUGGACUUGUCAACAUCAGAAGAGGAAUUUUCCAGGGGGAUUCAUUGUCCCCUCUGCUUUUCAUUAUUGCCAUGAUCCCUCUGUCAACAAUCUUACAAAAAACAAAUCUCGGCUAUCAAACAUCUAAGAAAUCUCACAAAAUUUCACAUCUGAUGUACAUGGAUGACCUGAAGCUGUAUGGGAAAACGGAAAAUGAAAUCCAGUCUCUGACCAACACUGUCUGAAUUUUUAGCACUGAUAUCAGCAUGGAGUUUGGUUUGGACAAAUGUUCGACAGUGGCAUUGAAGAAAGGAAAAAUCAUUGAAAGUGAGGGCAUAAAUAUGCCUAAUGGCCAAACAAUAAAGUGUCACCAGCCAGAGGCCUAUAAAUAUCUGGGCAUACUACAGCUGGACAACAUCAAGCAUGAACAUGUGAAAACUGUGGUCAGCAAAGAAUACACACAAAGGGUCAGAAAAAUUCUCAAAAGCAAGCUCAAUGGAGGCAACACCAUCAAGGCCAUAAACACCUGGGCCAUACCUGUCAUAAGAUAUACUGCUGGCAUUAUAAAUUGGACACAGGCGGAACUGGACAAUUUGGACAGAAAAACAAGAAAACUCAUGAUUAUUCAUCAUUCACUGGACUCUCGCAGUGAUGUUGACCGGCUAUAUCUGCUUAGAAGAUCAGGGGGCAGAGGACUCUUACAAGUCAAACAAGCAGUCAAAGAAGAAGAACAUGCCCUGGCAGAAUAUGUAAAGCAAAGUGAAGAACCUGCUUUGAUUGAAGUCAAAAAUCAGAAACUCCUCAAAGUACAGCAGACAAAAAACCAGUACAAGAAAACCACACUACAAACUAGAGCUGACAGCUGGCACAACAAAACAUUACAUGGAAAGUUCCUUGACAAAAUUGAAGGAAAAGCUGAUAAAGAGAAGACCUGGCUAUGGCUCACGAAUGGGACCCUGAAGAAGGAGACAGAAGGCCUGAUCCUUGCAGCCCAGGAGCAAGCCAUCAGAACAAAUGCAAUCAAGGCCAAGAUCGAAAAAUCAGCUGAUGACCCAAAAUGCAGACUCUGCAAGGAAACCGAUGAAACCAUUGAUCAUAUUCUCAGCUGCUGUAAGAAAAUCACACAGACAGACUACAAACAGAGGCACAACCAUGUGGCCCAAAUGAUUCAUUGGAACUUAUGCCUGAAGUACCACUUCCCAGCAGCAAAGAACUGGUGGGAUCACAAACCUGCAAAAGUAUUGGAAAAUGAGCACGCAAAGAUACUGUGGGACUUCCGAAUCCAGACUGACAAAGUUCUGGAACACAACAUACCAGACAUCACAGUUGUGGAAAAGAAAAAGGUUUGGAAGUCCCACAGUAUCUUUGCAUGUUCAUUUUCCAUGACCUUUGCUGGUUUGUGAUCCCACCAGUUCUUUGCUGCUGGGAGGUGGUACUUGAGGCAUAAGUUCUAAUGGAUCAUUUGGGCCAUACAGUUGUGCCUCUGUUUGUAGUCUGUCUGUGCAAUUUUCUUACAGCAGCUGAGGAUAUGAUCAACGGUUUUAUCAGCUUCCUUGCACAGUCUGCAU
This is a long non-coding RNA of Anolis carolinensis (green anole), 2004 nucleotides long. The record is from Ensembl. Lineage: Eukaryota; Metazoa; Chordata; Lepidosauria; Squamata; Anolidae.